UGGGGAAUUUUGGACAAUGGGCGCAAGCCUGAUCCAGCAAUGCCGCGUGAGUGAAGAAGGCCUUCGGGUUGUAAAGCUCUUUUGUCAGGGAAGAAACGGUUCUGGCUAAUAUCUGGAGCUAAUGACGGUACCUGAAGAAUAAGCACCGGCUAACUACGUGCCAGCAGCCGCGGUAAUACGUAGGGUGCAAGCGUUAAUCGGAAUUACUGGGCGUAAAGCGUGCGCAGGCGGUUGUGCAAGACCGAUGUGAAAUCCCCGGGCUUAACCUGGGAAUGGCAUUGGUGACUGCACGGCUAGAGUGUGUCAGAGGGGGGUAGAAUUCCACGUGUAGCAGUGAAAUGCGUAGAGAUGUGGAGGAAUACCGAUGGCGAAGGCAGCCCCCUGGGAUAACACUGACGCUCAUGCACGAAAGCGUGGGGAGCAAACAGGAUUAGAUACCCUGGUAGUCCACGCCCUAAACGAUGUCAACUAGUUGUCGGGUCUUAAUU
This 488-nucleotide ribosomal RNA is filed under the name uncultured Pseudomonadota bacterium. Its description in RNAcentral is "bacterial SSU rRNA". It matches the Rfam family "Bacterial small subunit ribosomal RNA", at positions 355 to 835 of the family's 1533-position model. The record is from RNAcentral. Lineage: Bacteria; Pseudomonadati; Pseudomonadota.